GCCCCUGUCGUAUUAACGGCAAUAUACCGCUUUCGUACAGCGUGAGAUGGAAGUUCGAAUCUUCUCGGGGGCUCUA
Molecule: transfer RNA, 76 nt
Filed under: Spirochaetota bacterium
Lineage: Bacteria; Pseudomonadati; Spirochaetota
Description: Spirochaetes bacterium tRNA-Thr
Rfam family: tRNA
About the family: Transfer RNA (tRNA) molecules are approximately 80 nucleotides in length. Their secondary structure includes four short double-helical elements and three loops (D, anti-codon, and T loops).
Source: RNAcentral